RNAcentral lists this microRNA precursor (76 nucleotides) under Pan troglodytes (chimpanzee). RNAcentral describes it as "miRNA". Lineage: Eukaryota; Metazoa; Chordata; Mammalia; Primates; Hominidae. The record is from RNAcentral.
GUGGGAAUAGCAAGAGAACUGAAAGUGGAGCCUGUCACAUCUCCAGACUCAGUUUUAGUUCUCUUGCUAUUUCCAC